GGGGGAAGGGAAAGUUGAGACGCAACAAUUCAAACUCAAACCCCGCAUACAAUGCCACCUUAACGAGACGAAUUUUGUCAUUAGAACAGCCUUUGUGGAAAAUUUCUUCUCAUAAUUUCCGGUGGCCGUUCUGCUCAAAUUUGAAGGAGGGAGGCCCCUGCAACUGCACGGCUCAAAGUCUGCACGUCAACUGCUGGCGUCUUUCACUUCACGAACUUCCUGCCACGCAAACAAUCCCGUUCGACACUGCAUUUCUAGAUCUGAGUUCCAACAAACUCCAGGCAAUUCAUCGCCAUUCGUUUCUAGGGCUAAGUCGCCUUGUUCAAUUGUACAUAGAAUGUAACAGAAUUUCCGUUCAAAUAAUAAACAUUUUAUGUCGACAAUACUUGGCAAACUUGAUUAAUUGUGUUGAUAAACAUUGGUCAAUUGUUUUCCAAGUCCCAUUUAUUUAUGUAUACGAAAUGAAUAAAGUUCUAAAAGUAAUCAACUAUUUUCUAUCGCAUCCACUAAGAAUUUUACCUUUUUCGCAACAUAUUUAGUUUCUUGAGGGGAAACCAAAUUCGCGAUAAAAAUGUCAGACUUGGUCAUGCUACUGGUGAAAGAGUUUAUAUUUGCUUCGUUGGCAGUCAUAACUAUGAAAUUGACCUCGUUCCUGGCUGCGAUUAAUUAUUCGACUGACCUGGCUACUAACCCAAACCAAAUUGGAGAUCAG
Long non-coding RNA from Folsomia candida, 712 nucleotides. RefSeq lists it as uncharacterized. The transcript has 4 exons. NCBI's taxonomy places the organism in Eukaryota, Metazoa, Arthropoda, Collembola, Entomobryomorpha, Isotomidae. The record is from RefSeq and is a predicted model, not a curated record.